GAUGAACGCUAGCGGCAGGCUUAAUACAUGCAAGUCGUGGGGCAGCAGGUUUGUAGCAAUACAGAUGCUGGCGACCGGCAAACGGGUGCGGAACACGUACAGAACCUUCCUUUGAGCGGGGAAUAGCCCAGAGAAACUUGGAUUAAUACCCCAUAGUAUAAUGAAGUGGCAUCACUUUAUUAUUAAGAUUUAUCACUCGAAGAUGGCUGUGCGGCUGAUUAGGUAGUUGGCGGGUAAAGGGCCCACCAAGCCUGCGAUCAGUAACUGGUGUGAGAGCACGACCAGUCACACGGGCACUGAGACACGGGCCGACUCCUACGGGAGGCAGCAGUAAGGAAUAUUGGUCAAUGGA
RNAcentral lists this ribosomal RNA (352 nucleotides) under uncultured bacterium. RNAcentral describes it as "bacterial SSU rRNA". It matches the Rfam family "Bacterial small subunit ribosomal RNA", at positions 28 to 375 of the family's 1533-position model. The record is from RNAcentral.